RNAcentral lists this long non-coding RNA (335 nucleotides) under Brassica napus (rape). RNAcentral describes it as "long non-coding RNA (BNAP_LNC013898)". Lineage: Eukaryota; Viridiplantae; Streptophyta; Magnoliopsida; Brassicales; Brassicaceae. The record is from RNAcentral.
UGUGGAAGAAAAAAAAAUGAUGUGGAAGAAAAAAAAAGAUGAUGUGGAGUGUUAAAAGAUGAAAUGGAAGGUGUUGAAUCUCGAAACUAUUGUACGUAGUUUACAAGGAUGCAUACGUGUUCGGUUCAAAUUGAAAAGUUAAAAAAGAAAUCAUAGAUAUUUCGCUACAUAAGCUAUAACAAUAAUAAAACAGAGUUUUUUUUAGUUUGGUAUUAAAUCAUUAGUACCAGAUGUUAUAUUCAUUUAUGUAUUGAUAAUUGAAUAGUUAACGAUACGAUAACUAAUUUAUAACUUAUAAUCUAAAGUAGCCAAUAAAAAGCUAAUCGAAUAAAUUA